Molecule: ribosomal RNA, 313 nt
Filed under: uncultured bacterium
Lineage: Bacteria
Description: bacterial SSU rRNA
Rfam family: Bacterial small subunit ribosomal RNA
Source: RNAcentral
AUUGAACGCUGGCGGAAUGCUUUACACAUGCAAGUCGAGCGGCGAGCGCGGGGCAACCUGGCGGCGAGCGGCGAACGGGUGAGUAAUACAUCGGAACGUGGCCCAGACGUGGGGGGAUAACUACUCGAAAGAGUGGCUAAUACCGGCAUACGAUCUGAGGAUGAAAGCGGGGGAUCGGCAAGACCUCGCGCGUCUGGAGCGGCCGAUGGGCAGGAUUAGGUAGUUGGUGAGGUAAAGGCUUACCAAGCCUGCGAUCUGUAGCUGGUCUGAGAGGAUGGAUCAGCCACACUGGGACUGAGACACGGCCCAGACU